GAGUUUGAUCCUGGCUCAUCAAACGAACGCUGGCGGCGUGGAUAAGACAUGCAAGUCGAACGAGAUCUCCGAAUAGCUUGCUAAUUGGAGUGACAGUGGCGGACGGGUGCGUAACACGUGAGCAACCUGCCCUAAAGUGGGGGAUAGCCUUCCGAAAGGAAGAUUAAUACCGCAUGUGGUCUUCGGACCAAAGGUGGCUUCGGCUACCGCUUUAGGAUGGGCUCGCGGCCUAUCAGCUUGUUGGUGAGGUAACGGCUCACCAAGGCGACGACGACCAAGGCGACGACGGGUAGCUGGUCUGAGAGGACGAUCAGCCUCACUGGAACUGAGACACGGUCCAGACACCUACGGGUGGCAGCAGUCGAGAAUCAUUCACAAUGGACGAAAGUCUGAUGGUGCAACGCCGCGUGGAGGAUGACGGUCUUCGGAUUGUAAACUCCUGUCAUCUGGGAGUAAGCCUUAAAAAAAAAAAAAACGUGCGUUGAUAGUACCAGAAGAGGAAGAGACGGCUAACUCUGUGCCAGCAGCCGCGGUAACACGUAGGGACCAAACGUUGUUCGGAUUCAUUGGGCGUAAAGAGCUCGUAGGCGGCUUCGUAAGUCAGAGGUGAAAGACCUGGGCUCAACCCGGGGACGCCACCCGAUACUGCUGUGACUCGAGUUCCGGAGAGGAAAGCGGAAUUCCUGGAGUAGCGGUGAAAUGCGUAGAUAUCAGGAGGAACACCAGUGGCGAAGGCGACUAUCUGGACCGGUUCUGACGCUGAGGAGCGAAAGCUAGGGGAGCGAACAGGAUUAGAUACCCUGGUAGUCCUAGCCGUAAACGGUGGGCACUAGGUGUAGGAGGUAUCGACCCCUCCUGUGCCGCAGCUAACGCAUUAAGUGCCCCGCCUGGGGAGUACGACCGCAAGGUUGAAACUCAAAGGAAUUGACGGGGGCCCGCACAAGCGGUGGAGCAUGUGGUUUAAUUCGACGCAACGCGAAGAACCUUACCGGGGCUUGACAUGCGCUGGAAAGGUGUGGAAACACACCCCCUCUUCGGAGUCAGUGCACAGGUGCUGCAUGGCUGUCGUCAGCUCGUGUCGUGAGAUGUUGGGUUAAGUCCCGCAACGAGCGCAACCCUUGUCGUUAGUUGCCAGCGAGUAAUGUCGGGCACUCUAACGAGACUGCCGGUGGUAAGCCGGAGGAAGGUGGGGAUGACGUCAAGUCCUCAUGGCCCUUACAUCCCGGGCUACACACGUGCUACAAUGGCCGGUACAAAGGGUUCCGAUGCCGCGAGGUGGAGGCAAUCCCACAAAGCCGGUCUCAGUUCGGAUUGCAGUCUGCAACUCGACUGCAUGAAGGUGGAAUCGCUAGUAAUCGCGAAUCAGCAGGUCGCGGUGAAUACGUUCCCGGGCCUUGUACACAC
This 1404-nucleotide ribosomal RNA is filed under the name uncultured prokaryote. RNAcentral's name for it is "partial 16S ribosomal RNA". It matches the Rfam family "Bacterial small subunit ribosomal RNA". The record is from RNAcentral.